AAUGGGGGCAACCCUGAUCCAGCAAUGCCGCGUGUGUGAUGAAGGCCUUAGGGUUGUAAAGCACUUUCACUGGCGAAGAUGAUGACGGUAACCAGAGAAGAAGCCCCGGCUAACUUCGUGCCAGCAGCCGCGGUAAUACGAAGGGGGCGAGCGUUGUUCGGAAUUACUGGGCGUAAAGGGCGCGUAGGCGGUCUUUUAAGUUAGGCGUGAAAGCCCCGGGCUCAACCUGGGAACUGCGCUUAAAACUGGAAGACUAGAAAACGGAAGAGGGUAGUGGAAUUCCCAGUGUAGAGGUGAAAUUCGUAGAUAUUGGGAAGAACACCAGUGGCGAAAGCGGCUACCUGGUCCGAUUUUGACGCUGAGGCGCGAAAGCGUGGGGAGCAAACAGGAUU
This 392-nucleotide ribosomal RNA is filed under the name uncultured Gammaproteobacteria bacterium. RNAcentral's name for it is "bacterial SSU rRNA". It matches the Rfam family "Bacterial small subunit ribosomal RNA", at positions 370 to 779 of the family's 1533-position model. Lineage: Bacteria; Pseudomonadati; Pseudomonadota; Gammaproteobacteria. The record is from RNAcentral.